RNAcentral lists this ribosomal RNA (301 nucleotides) under uncultured bacterium. Its description in RNAcentral is "partial 16S ribosomal RNA". It matches the Rfam family "Bacterial small subunit ribosomal RNA", at positions 509 to 809 of the family's 1533-position model. The record is from RNAcentral.
CAGUAGCCACGGUAAAACGAAGGGUGCAAGCGUUACUCGGAAUUACUGGGCGUAAAGCGUGCGUAGGUGGUGGUUUAAGUCCGUUGUGAAAGCCCUGGGCUCAACCUGGGAAUUGCAGUGGAUACUGGGUCACUAGAGUGUGGUAGAGGAUAGUGGAAUUUCCGGUGUAGCAGUGAAAUGCGUAGAGAUCGGAAGGAACAUCUGUGGCGAAGGCGACUAUCUGGGCCAACACUGACACUGAGGCACGAAAGCGUGGGGAGCAAACAGGAUUAGAUACCCGAGUAGUCCCUGUCUCUUAUAA